Molecule: transfer RNA, 65 nt
Filed under: unidentified
Description: Peltoperlopsis sagittata tRNA-Leu
Rfam family: tRNA
About the family: Transfer RNA (tRNA) molecules are approximately 80 nucleotides in length.
Source: RNAcentral
UCUAAUAUGGCAGAAAAGUGCAAUGGAUUUAAGCUCCAUACAUAAAGGUCUACCUUUUAUUAGAA